RNAcentral lists this long non-coding RNA (224 nucleotides) under Elaeis guineensis (African oil palm). Its description in RNAcentral is "long non-coding RNA (EGUI_LNC011669)". Lineage: Eukaryota; Viridiplantae; Streptophyta; Magnoliopsida; Arecales; Arecaceae. The record is from RNAcentral.
AUACUUUGCGUCCGCCAACCGACCUUAGUCUCCAUCAAUCCGGGAACCGAAAGAUGCGGCGGAGGAUGGUGGUUGACUUGUUUUUUGAGAACUUGUUUCUGUCUCUCACUUGCGUCCACUUGCGAGGAAGGGUGUCGACUUUUAUAUUAGAACAAGGUAUUCGGUUUCAAACAAGUAUAUUAUAUGAUUAGGCUGAAACUAGGGUCUUUUUUCUGGGGCGGGGG